CGUCACACACUUGUGCCCUUGGAUGCCCCAAAGCCCAUCCUCCAGCUGGUCCCUUUAUCUCUGGGGCUUUGGAAGAUCAGGGAAGAGCUGUCUCUGCCUCCAAGCUAAUAUUAAGAACAGAAUCAUGGAUAGAAGGCGCCGUCAGCUCAGCCUGCACCUAGAAUCCUUUACGGCCCUCUCUCUAUUUUUCUCAUUGCGUUCUGGGAGCCCAAAUCUGGCUUUUCUUGGCCACUUUUCAUCCCCAUGGGUCUUGGGAAGGCCUGUUUUCUGUGUUCCCAGACCAACCCUGCCCAGAGAGGUGAGGAUGGAACUACCUCAUUCAGCAAAUUAGCCCCAAGUCGGAGCAUUGAUUCAUGGUUCCUAUCAGACCAGGCAUCAUCUCUGAAGUCUUUGGAAAUCCCAAUCAAUCCAUUCCUCAGCUGCUUUCUCAAGGCAGUCCCCACCCCCACCCUACCACCCCUGCCCAUCUCACUAGAGGGAGCUUUCCAAAGUUCUCUGCCAGGGAGAUCUCCUCCUGCUGUGUGCAUGUCCAAAAGCUUUGAGAGAUGGAGAUGAGCCAGAAACCACAUGGGUCUGUCUCCCAUGGUGUCCUGUCCAACACUGGGCUAUCCUGACCCCGGCUCUCCCAGGCUGCCCACCAAAGGCUUAAUAGGGCUAGGUCAGUCCCAUAUGAGAGACAGGUUAGGGCAAGUCUUUGUCAGACUCCAUCUGCUUAUGCAAGAUAGGGUUUGGACUGCUGUCCCUUGUAUGUGCAUUGCAGACUCUCUUUGCUAUCCAGGCAUGCCCUGCCACCUGGGCCUCCAGCUCCUCUGAACUUUCCAGAGCCCUGCACAGAGCCCUCGCUUGGUGCCAGUACCUCCUUUCCCUUUGUCCAUCUUCCCUAGAGAAGCCUGAGCCAAGCGUGACUCUUUUCAGCACUACCCCUGGGUUCAGCCAGCCACUUUCUUUCUCGACUACAGCAAACACCAUCUACCCCAUCUUAGCCUAGAGAACCAGCCUGAGGAGGCUGGGAGAAAACAAUUGACCCAGUGAGCAAGGAACAGCUUCUAGCCAGAAACCCCUGCCCUGAGAGCCCACCUUUCUUCAUCUUUCCCAUUGAUGGCUUUCGGCUUGACCCUUCCGUCUUCCAUGGGGGCAGAAUUCUACCAGCAUAAUUCAUGGAUCUUUCCCUCUGUUUUACAUUGCUAAUAAUGGAUGUUGAUCUUGAAUCUUUCAGCAUCUCUUCCAUUGAAUUAGAAUGGCUUUCUCAUAGUUUAUUUUAGAAAGAUAUUCAAUAUACUAAAAAAAAAAAAAAGUGAUGCCUUUGACUACAACUAUGGUGUCUGCCUCUUAAGGAUGCCAGGAAGGUUAAGUUUGGCUGCCCAAUAUCAGUCUCAAGGUGAGUCAAAACAGGUGGGCCUAAGAGAAAGAUUAGGUGUGGGAGUAUAGAAAUUGUCUUUCAAAAGCGG
This 1448-nucleotide long non-coding RNA is filed under the name Marmota monax (woodchuck). The record is from RNAcentral. Lineage: Eukaryota; Metazoa; Chordata; Mammalia; Rodentia; Sciuridae.